RNAcentral lists this ribosomal RNA (428 nucleotides) under uncultured bacterium. RNAcentral's name for it is "bacterial SSU rRNA". It matches the Rfam family "Bacterial small subunit ribosomal RNA", at positions 34 to 507 of the family's 1533-position model. The record is from RNAcentral.
CGCUGGCGGCAGGCCUAACACAUGCAAGUCGAGCGCCCCGCAAGGGGGAGCGGCGGACGGGUGAGUAACGCGUGGGAACGUACCCUUUGCUACGGAAUAGCCUCGGGAAACUGGGAGUAAUACCGUAUGUGCCCUUCGGGGGAAAGAUUUAUCGGCAAAGGAUCGGCCCGCGUUGGAUUAGGUAGUUGGUGGGGUAAUGGCCUACCAAGCCGACGAUCCAUAGCUGGUUUGAGAGGAUGAUCAGCCACACUGGGACUGAGACACGGCCCAGACUCCUACGGGAGGCAGCAGUGGGGAAUCUUAGACAAUGGGCGCAAGCCUGAUCUACGCCAUGCCGCGUGAGCGAUGAAGGCCGUUAGGGUUAGUAAAGCUCUUCAGUGGGGAAGAUAAUGACUGUACCCACAGAAGAAGCCCCGGCUAACUCCGUG